UUAAUCGGAUCUACAAAUUGAUUUACAGAUCGGUGAAUUAAUGAUUUGAAGUUGAAAUUAAGUUAAAGAAGAUACACCCUCCCCCUGUUGCUGUUGUUCCUAUAUGAAAAAUUAAAUCAAUUUCCUGUGUUGUACACAAAAAUCAGACCUAGGGUUUGGGUGCUCCAUCUUGUUCCUAUAUGAAAAAUUAAAUCAAUUUCCUGUGUUGUACACAAAAAUCAGACCUAGGGUUUGGGUGCUCCAUCGUCCAUUCCAGUUCGACAAUCGAAGAAUUUGUAGAGCUUGGUAAUCAUUCUGUGUAAUCGAACCUUGGUCUGAACUAGCGGUUCCAGCAACAAGGCGAAUUUCUGAGGCAAUGAAGCAAUCCAGCAAUCAUGUAACCUCAGCUCUUUCACUUUCUGUUUACUGCUCUAAUUUUUUUGAUUACUUCCUACCUUUAAUGGAGAAAUGUAGAUUGUUGAAGUUGAUAAUACUUCUCGUAGAAAGUUCGACUGAGAAGAGAUUAUGCAGUAUGCUCGUGAACGCGAAGAACAUGUCUUUUAAUCUCAUAAUUAUCUUUCUACUUUUAUCUUCUUCAUGUUUUAGUU
RNAcentral lists this long non-coding RNA (587 nucleotides) under Capsicum annuum. RNAcentral's name for it is "long non-coding RNA (CANN_LNC006290)". The record is from RNAcentral. Lineage: Eukaryota; Viridiplantae; Streptophyta; Magnoliopsida; Solanales; Solanaceae.